RNAcentral lists this transfer RNA (72 nucleotides) under Caldibacillus debilis. Its description in RNAcentral is "tRNA-Gly". It matches the Rfam family "tRNA". From Rfam's summary of the family: Transfer RNA (tRNA) molecules are approximately 80 nucleotides in length. Their secondary structure includes four short double-helical elements and three loops (D, anti-codon, and T loops). The record is from RNAcentral. Lineage: Bacteria; Bacillati; Bacillota; Bacilli; Caryophanales; Bacillaceae. RNAcentral also lists the same sequence under 3 other names.
GCGGAAGUAGUUCAGUGGUAGAACAUCACCUUGCCAAGGUGAGGGUCGCGGGUUCGAGUCCCGUCUUCCGCU